UGGGGAAUAUUGCACAAUGGGCGCAAGCCUGAUGCAGCCAUGCCGCGUGUGUGAAGAAGGCCUUCGGGUUGUAAAGCACUUUCAGCGAGGAGGAAGGUGGUGAGCUUAAUACGCUCAUCAAUUGACGUUACUCGCAGAAGAAGCACCGGCUAACUCCGUGCCAGCAGCCGCGGUAAUACGGAGGGUGCAAGCGUUAAUCGGAAUUACUGGGCAAGNAACGCAGCGGUCUGAUGUCAGUUGAAUCCGGAACCCGUCAACCUGGGAACUGCAUUUGAAAACUGGCAAGCUAGAGUCUCGUAGAGGGGGGUAGAAUUCCAGGUGUAGCGGUGAAAUGCGUAGAGAUCUGGAGGAAUACCGGUGGCGAAGGCGGCCCCCUGGACGAAGACUGACGCUCAGGUGCGAAAGCGUGGGGCAGCAAACAGGAUUAGAUACCCUGGUAGUCCACGCUGUAAACGAUGUCGAUUUGGAGGUUGUGCCCUUGAGGCGUGGCCUCCGGAGCUAACGCGUUAAAUCGACCGCCUGGGGAGUACGGCCGCAAGGUUAAAACUUAAAUGAAUUGACGGGGUC
This 567-nucleotide ribosomal RNA is filed under the name uncultured bacterium. RNAcentral describes it as "partial 16S ribosomal RNA". It matches the Rfam family "Bacterial small subunit ribosomal RNA", at positions 355 to 920 of the family's 1533-position model. The record is from RNAcentral.